UCAUGUUCAAAUCUUCAUUUACCGUCCACAUUAUCAGAUGAGGACGUCACCAAAGAUUGUCCUUUGAGUCGAUGUUUACAUUUAUGUACAGAUAAUUAAGAACAUUUAGUUUAUUGUAAAAUGCUAAUUAUUUUCUCCUGCCACCUUUCAGACAUUGUCAUCCAAUUUGGAUGGAACAACUUCGUGACCUUAAUGACACCCAGCAACACGAGACGCACACAAGCACCACAGGGGAGGAUCUGCAGCAAAGGGCCCACCGGAAAUCAAACCUUGGCCGCUAUGAUGACGACAACAUGGGGCACUUGAGUGUGUGACUACGACGACCAGCAUGAACCUCAACACCUUCUUUGCUGUUCCACUAGUGUGACCCAUGAUCGGAUACAAGUUGUCAAGGAUAAACGGUGAGAGAAUCAUGUCAGCCCACAGACAACCGAUUGACCUGUGAGUCUUCAAGCAGUAAUGAUGACUGCGCCUGCCUUAAGUUCCAGUUUCCUGAACAUCAUGGCAUGUCUGCAGGAGAUUCGGUCCCCACCUGUCUUCAGUCUGGACCUAAUGACUCAGACACCAGUCUUGUCGAGGCUAAAUCGAGAGGAUCACCUGAUGUCAACAUACGAGUUUUCAAGAAGAACUUCCUGAACUUUGUGUCCGUGUGAGACUCUACCAUGCUGGGUGCCCUCUUCAGUCAAGUCUGGACACAGCGACUCAUUGCUCUUAAUCAACUCUGGGCAAGUGGCUAAUCUUUUGCUUAUUCAUGGGAUAUCCUUCAUGUCCACAUCCUGUUUCUUCAAGAUCUCAACAAUGCUUUGUGAGUAAACAACACAUGUGAGUGGAUCAGUUCAACCUGUUUUCACAGAAUGUUAGUUUCUUAAGGUUUUCAUCAAUGAUGGUUUGUAUCUUGUUUUCCAAAAGGUGUUAUUAAGAUAUUUCCAUUUGUAAUUUACAAGAAUCAAAUGUUGACUGUAAAAUCUAUGCCAACCUAUUG
Molecule: long non-coding RNA, 982 nt
Organism: Pseudoliparis swirei
Lineage: Eukaryota; Metazoa; Chordata; Actinopteri; Perciformes; Liparidae
Exons: 5
Source: RefSeq, a predicted model, not a curated record